RNAcentral lists this ribosomal RNA (371 nucleotides) under uncultured bacterium. RNAcentral's name for it is "bacterial SSU rRNA". It matches the Rfam family "Bacterial small subunit ribosomal RNA", at positions 527 to 896 of the family's 1533-position model. The record is from RNAcentral.
AGAGGUCUCAAGCGUUGUUCGGAAUCACUGGGCGUAAAGGGUGCGCAGGCGGCGCGGAAAGUCAGAUGUGAAAUCCGGAGGCUCAACCUCCGAAUAGCAUCCGAUACUUCCGCGCUAGAGAGUUGUAGGGGAGCUUGGAAUUCUCGGUGUAGCAGUGAAAUGCGUAGAUAUCGAGAAGAACACUCGCGGCGAAGGCGAAGCUCUGGGCAACAUCUGACGCUCAUGCACGAAGGCUAGGGGAGCAAACGGGAUUAGAUACCCCGGUAGUCCUAGCUGUAAACGGUGCGCGCUUGGUGUGGCGGGUUUCGACCCCUGCCGUGCCGAAGCUAACGCGUUAAGCGCGCCGCCUGGGAAGUACGAUCGCAAGAUUA